GACGAACGCUGGCGGCGUGCUUAACACAUGCAAGUCGAACGGAAAGGCCCUGCUUUUGUGGGGUGCUCGAGUGGCGAACGGGUGAGUAACACGUGAGUAACCUGCCCUUGUCUUUGGGAUAACUUCAGGAAACUUGGGCUAAUACCGGAUAGGAUCUCCUGCUGCAUGGUGGGGGUUGGAAAGUUUCGGCGGUUGGGGAUGGACUCGCGGCUUAUCAGCUUGUUGGUGGGGUAGUUGCUUACCAAGGCUUUGACGGGUAGCCGGCCUGAGAGGGUGACCGGCGACAAUGGGACUGAGAUACGGCCCAGACGCGUACGGGAGGCAGCAGUGGGGAAUAUUGCACAAUGGGCGGAAGCGUGAUGCAGCAACGCCGCGUGCGGGAUGACGGCCUUCGGGUUGUAAACCGCAUUCGCCUGUGACGAAGCGUGAGUGACGGUAAUGGGUAAAGAAGCACCGGCUAACUACGUG
RNAcentral lists this ribosomal RNA (468 nucleotides) under uncultured bacterium. RNAcentral's name for it is "partial 16S ribosomal RNA". It matches the Rfam family "Bacterial small subunit ribosomal RNA", at positions 28 to 507 of the family's 1533-position model. The record is from RNAcentral.